GCGGGUGUAGCUCAGGGGGAGAGCGAAGGGUUGUGGUCCCUUAGGUCGCGGGUUCAAAUCCCGUCACUCGCCCCA
RNAcentral lists this transfer RNA (75 nucleotides) under bacterium. Its description in RNAcentral is "tRNA-His". It matches the Rfam family "tRNA". From Rfam's summary of the family: Transfer RNA (tRNA) molecules are approximately 80 nucleotides in length. Their secondary structure includes four short double-helical elements and three loops (D, anti-codon, and T loops). The record is from RNAcentral.